ACCUUGGUCAUGUUGACCAGGUUGACUAGAGACAUUCCUACUUCCCUUUGACUGUUUGACUAGUUAUGGGGAUUCCUGACACUGUUGCUCUGCAAACUUGAUUCUCACCCAGCUGGCUCCUUCUCCCCGUGAAGCUUCGGUCUUGUCAUGGUUGGUGAGAGAGGCACUCUUCCUCUUCCUCAUCUUCUUCUCCUCCUUCCUCUAUUUAGCAGCCUUUCUUUGAGUUCGGACUGAAGAGGUGGCAAGCUUCCUUUGAACUUCGGACUGAAGAAGCCAGCCGUGAGGAGGAGCUCGGAGUCGCAUUGCUUGAGUUCGGCAGCGGCGAAGGAGGCUGAAGAUUCACCGUUUCUCUCUUCAUCAAGCUUCAGAUUUUGGUAGCGAGCCUUAGUUCGCGGGACUGGGUGGACCCAACUCUGUAGCUUGGAGCCAGGAGAAGAUCAAGGCUAGGAUCGGGGGUGCGGGGGUC
Dioscorea cayenensis subsp. rotundata (Guinea yam) is the source of this 466-nucleotide long non-coding RNA. RefSeq lists it as uncharacterized. The record is from RefSeq and is a predicted model, not a curated record. The transcript is spliced from 3 exons. Lineage: Eukaryota; Viridiplantae; Streptophyta; Magnoliopsida; Dioscoreales; Dioscoreaceae.